This 448-nucleotide ribosomal RNA is filed under the name uncultured bacterium. RNAcentral describes it as "partial 16S ribosomal RNA". It matches the Rfam family "Bacterial small subunit ribosomal RNA", at positions 339 to 795 of the family's 1533-position model. The record is from RNAcentral.
CUACGGGAGGCUCCAGUCGAGAAUAUUCGACAAUGGGCGAAAGCCUGAUCGAGCGACGCCGCGUGCGGGAUGAAGGCCUUAGGGUUGUAAACCGCUUUUAGCCGGGAGAAAGCCGCAAGGCUGAUUGUACCGGCGGAAUAAGGAGAUGCUAACUCUGUGCCAGCAGCAGCGGUAAUACAGAGUCUCCAAGCGUUAUCCGGAUUUAUUGGGCGUAAAGGGUCCGUAGGCGGUUCGUAAAGUUUUUCGUUAAAUAUCCAGGGCUCAACCUUGGAAGUGCGAAAAAAACUAACGAACUAGAGGACGUUAGGGGCUGGCGGAACGUACGGUGUAGGGGUGAAAUCCGUUGAUAUCGUACGGAACACCAAAAGCGAAGGCAGCCAGCUGGGAUUGUCCUGACGCUGAGGGACGAAAGCGUGGGUAGCAAAAAGGAUUAGAUACCCGGGUAGUC